UACGUAGGUGGCAAGCGUUGUCCGGAUUUACUGGGCGUAAAGAGCGCGCAGGCGGUCGUGCAAGUCGCGUGUGAAAGCCCCCGGCUCAACUGGGGAGGGUCACGCGAUACUGCUCGACUCGAAGGCAGGAGAGGGAAGUGGAAUUCCCGGUGUAGUGGUGAAAUGCGUAGAGAUCGGCAGGAACACCCAGGGGGAAACCAGUCGACUGGGCAGCAGCUGACGCUGAGGUGCGAGAGCGUGGGGAGCGAACCGG
RNAcentral lists this ribosomal RNA (253 nucleotides) under uncultured bacterium. RNAcentral describes it as "partial 16S ribosomal RNA". It matches the Rfam family "Bacterial small subunit ribosomal RNA", at positions 524 to 776 of the family's 1533-position model. The record is from RNAcentral.